UGUGAGUUUGUUCGUCCGAGUGUCCGCAGGAUGAAGCUGGUAUUCGUCUUCCUCGCAGCGUUGGCAACAGUGCUGGGCCUAUUGCACUGUGCAAACGCCCUCCCCCACCCCCACCCCUUCCCCAACCCUCGCCCUGAACCGCGCCGCCCUAGCAAGCCACUGUUUGACCCCAAGUUCAGCUAUGGCUACCACUCGAAGCCCUAUUAUGGGGACUACCUGCCUACGUACCGAUGGUGACGCGGUGAUGGGGUGAUGGUGAAGUUGAUGGUGCUGAUGGUGGUGAGGGUGGUGAGGGUGGUGACUCCCUCGGUCGACUUCAGCGGCAUGGCUGGAGGAGCGCUGAGACCUGGCAUUAUUUUUUUCUAUUAUUAGCAUUAUUAUUAUUAAGGUUUAUUAGUGUCUUUUUUGGGGCGGCUGGUCUGGAAUAAAUCUGAGGUUUUUUC
This is a long non-coding RNA of Penaeus indicus, 443 nucleotides long. RefSeq lists it as uncharacterized. The transcript is spliced from 2 exons. The record is from RefSeq and is a predicted model, not a curated record. Lineage: Eukaryota; Metazoa; Arthropoda; Malacostraca; Decapoda; Penaeidae.